Long non-coding RNA from Felis catus (domestic cat), 578 nucleotides. RefSeq lists it as uncharacterized. The transcript is spliced from 4 exons. The record is from RefSeq and is a predicted model, not a curated record. Lineage: Eukaryota; Metazoa; Chordata; Mammalia; Carnivora; Felidae.
GAACGGUGGGCUGCAGGUGGCAGGGGAGAUGUAGAUAAGCACGUAUGUGCAAACAGGGGGGAGGAGUGGGGAAGUCAGCAAAGUGUGUCGGGUGAUACUAAUAACUGCUGAUGAUUGCGAGAUCCUCCUCCGGCAGGCACCCCUGCUCAGGGGCUGACCUCCAUUAUCUCAUUUAAUCCUCCUGGCAGCCCGUCGAAGAUGUGGUUGAGGCUGAGAGCAAGGAACUUGCCUGUGGUUGCACUGCUGGCAGGUAUCCAGUCAGGAUUGGACUCCAGACUUUCUGUUGAUGAGCUGAUGUCUGCCCCAUCAGGCUCUUCCUCUCCAUGCCAGGGAAUGUCUCCCUCCUGAGUCCCAAACAUUUGGGGUAUUCUUUCUGGAUCAUGGCCACCUCUCUCAUGCAGUCUUGGAAACAAAGAGGUCCCUGACUAUCCAGUGACUUGAGGACGGAGAGUUGGAUGCAGCAGAAAGAACACUGGUCUGAGAGAUCAGAGACACAAUCCCAGAACUUCUACAUACUCACUAACGCUGGACCGAAGACAACCACCUUCUUCUUCCGAAGCCCAGGUGCCCUGUCUGUA